RNAcentral lists this ribosomal RNA (254 nucleotides) under uncultured bacterium. Its description in RNAcentral is "partial 16S ribosomal RNA". It matches the Rfam family "Bacterial small subunit ribosomal RNA", at positions 524 to 777 of the family's 1533-position model. The record is from RNAcentral.
UACGUAGGGUGCAAGCGUUAAUCGGAAUUACUGGGCGUAAAGCGUGCGCAGGCGGUUUUGUAAGACAGAGGUGAAAUCCCCGGGCUUAACCUGGGAACUGCCUUUGUGACUGCAAGGCUUGAGUGCGGCAGAGGGGGAUGGAAUUCCGCGUGUAGCAGUGAAAUGCGUAGAUAUGCGGAGGAACACCGAUGGCGAAGGCAAUCCCCUGGGCCUGCACUGACGCUCAUGCACGAAAGCGUGGGGAGCAAACCAGG